AUUGAACGCUGGCGGCAUGCCUUACACAUGCAAGUCGAACGGUAACAGGUCUUCGGAUGCUGACGAGUGGCGAACGGGUGAGUAAUACAUCGGAACGUGCCUAGUAGUGGGGGAUAACUACUCGAAAGAGUGGCUAAUACCGCAUGAGAUCUACGGACGAAAGCAGGGGAUCGCAAGACCUUGUGCUACUAGAGCGGCCGAUGGCAGAUUAGGUAGUUGGUGGGAUAAAAGCUUACCAAGCCGACGAUCUGUAGCUGGUCUGAGAGGACGAUCAGCCACACUGGGACGGAGAAACGGCCCAGACUCCUACGGGAGGCAGCAGUGGGGAAUUUUGGACAAUGGGCGCAAGCCUGAUCCAGCAAUGCCGCGUGCAGGAUGAAGGCCUUCGGGUUGUAAACUGCUUUUGUACGGAACGAAAAGCCCCGGGUUAAUACCCUGGGGUCAUGACGGUACCGUAAGAAUAAGCACCGGCUAACUACGUGCCAGCCGCCGCGGUAA
Molecule: ribosomal RNA, 498 nt
Filed under: uncultured bacterium
Lineage: Bacteria
Description: partial 16S ribosomal RNA
Rfam family: Bacterial small subunit ribosomal RNA
Source: RNAcentral